Molecule: long non-coding RNA, 690 nt
Filed under: Gossypium barbadense (sea-island cotton)
Lineage: Eukaryota; Viridiplantae; Streptophyta; Magnoliopsida; Malvales; Malvaceae
Description: long non-coding RNA (GBAR_LNC010842)
Source: RNAcentral
AAAAAAAAACCUCACUUUUCUCUGGAAGUUUUCAGAAUCCAGCCACGGGAUCGGAGAGCCGUCGUCGCACGCGCCAUUAUCGGUGCCGCCGUAUACGGUGGCUGGAGGUGCGAAAAAUCCCUCUUUGCCGGUGAAACAAAAGGUAAACUCCCCAUUUUUAAUAUUUUAGUUUCGUAUAAAUGAAAAAAUCUAAAAAAAAAAGAAAAAAAUGGUAGAAAAAUAAAACAAAAUGAAACAGAAAAGUAAAACCAUAGUAAAAUCACAUUGAUUUCUUUUUAAGUAUUUGUUGUACUUUGAUUUCUCUGCUUAUAUUAGUCCAAAAGAAAGGGAUCCCCCCUUUACAACAUCAUAUAUUGGCUUUUAUAGCCAUUUUUACACUCUAUUUUCACAUGUUUGCAGGUACGUGCGCAGGUAUACCACUGACGUGGCGUGGUGGAGCAGUGCACGACACGGAGAGGCGUGCGACGUGCGGUGCCUGGAGACUACCUUGGGUGCGGCGGCUGAAGGUGUUGGCUGCUAGGGUUUCAAAGCAUGUUUAGGUUGUGGGCUUGGGUAUUGAGUUAGGGUUUUUUAUUUUGGGCCUGUUUAGGAUUAGCAAUUUGGGUUAUAAUUUUUGGACUGGUUUAAUUAUUUUGGACCAUUGUUUAUUGGGCUCCGGGCGAAAAUUAGGUCCUACAGUUUGCAUAGCCU